UUCCAUUGUUGAUCUGGAUCUGGUGUUGUACUACUGGGCUUGGAUUGUUCGUUGCGUUUUGUGAUUGGUUAGGUAUAAGUGGGAAUUUAUUCUGGCAAUUUGAUUUAAUUUUAUGGUUGCGGGAAGAUGAGGCUUGCAGAGCUCAGGGAGGCAGCAAAAGCCACGCGAUUUGGCAGUUUAGUGCCAAUUAUCGGAUCGGACUUCGUGCGUGAGGUGUCUCAGGCACCAUCAGAUAUCUGGGUUAUCCAAACAGGAUAUGGAAUUUAAUUCAUGGAGAAGAAUUCUAUCAACACCUAAAUUAAAAAAAAUUGAAUUGAAUCAAAUUCUGAGAAAUUCUGAGUAAUUCAUUUUUUAUGGAAUUCAAUGUCUAGAAUGUAAUUCCUAGAAUGGGUUUCAAUUCCUGCGAAACAAACGGGCCCUUAUUGUAAUAGAACCACACUAGACUACACAGCAUGGUAUUGAAGUUUGCCACGAUACGAUUGUUUGUUGGAGGUGCAACUUCACCUUUUCUUCUACCUCUCUCUAUCUACCAUUGACUACCAUCCACUACUUUGGUGGACUACAAUCUCACCUUCCAUUCUCCCCUCAUUCCCUUAGUCUAAUCACGUUUCUCCACUUUAGCUUAUCAUCAUCGCACAUAAUAAGUCUACAUAACAAAUUGAUCUUCGGAGUUCCACUAUGGCGACACAGAAAGGGACAAAGGCCAAAUGAAAAAAAGAAAAGUAUUCAUUGAUUCUAAAGCCAAUGUAUUUGACAUUACAAACAGAGGGUCUUGCAUUGUUCACUAAAUCACCUUUUUCUCAAGGUUUUGCUAGUUGUAAAUCAUAAGAUCUAUAAAAUACUCAUAGAAAAAAAAGAUGAAAUAUACCUUAGCUCCCCUGGCAGAUCCAGAAAAAAAAGAGAUGAAAUAUACCUUAGCUCCACUGGCGGAUCCAGAACCAAAGCGCAGGGGCCCGCUAGGCUCAUCUUCUUCAACCCCUAGCUCUUUACAUAAAUGCAUCCCUGGUUGAAAUUUUAAAUUUUAAGAGGGCUUUCAUGGUCCUAGCCCUUUGUACGAGCCGUUCAAUCAGCCCACCUAAGCCCACCUAAACGGGGCUCACUCUCAUCUCAGUACCUCUCUCAACCCUAAGCAAAGAACUAAGGUCCUGUUUGGAGUCGCUUUUCUGGAACUCGCUUAUCUGACAAGCAAGCUUAUCUGAUAAGCCUGCUGCCUGGAUAAGCUGUUGUCUGAAUAAGCAGGGUGUUUGGCAAUCCUGAUUAUUUUGGGUCGAUUGUCUGUCCAGGUUGGUAAAUUGACCUGAAUGCCCCUACCCCCAGAGAUCAGCACCUUCCAAUCAAGUUUCAUACAGUAACAAUUGGGACUAACAACACUGCGCACAAGUAUAUUUGUGUUUACCAGAUUUAGUUGUACCAUUCAGUAACUUGUGUGAUAAAGAGAUCAUCAACGUCACAUGUUAAAGAUCAAACCACAUUCCUGCACUCCCAGCUAGGAGGCGCACGCACAGCAGCGGCCGUGUCGCAGGCGGCUCUGGCGUCCGGCGGCGGGGGCGGUGUCCGGCGGCGGGGCGGCACCCAGCCGGCGGGGGCGUCCGGCGGCGGGGCGGCGCCCAGGCGGCAGGACAGUCCGGCGCGCGGGGCCGGAUCCCAGGCGGCGGAGCGGCGGACGCGGCGCCCAGGCGGGGACGUCCGGCGGCGGGGUCGGCGACCAGGCGGCCCGCGGCGGGGGCGGCGCCCAGGCCCGCGGCAGGGGCCUGGCAGGGGCGGCCGGCGGAGGUAGGGAGGCGGGCCGGGCGACCCGAGCGGCGGCGGCGGGAUCUGGAGCGGCGGCGGCGGGAUCUGGAGCGGCGGCGGUUGCGGGAGGAGCGGCGGCGGUCGCCUGGAGGCGUUGCGCGAGGGUACCGGGGGAAAAUAAGCUCCGCUUGCGGGAGAAGCGUCUCCAGACCCGCGUAGGAGAUAAGCCCGGUCCUAGUUCAAUUUCAGAUUUUCCCCUAAGCGGCUUACGUGAUAAGCGGGGAAUAAGCGAGGCGUUUGGGUGGGCUUAUCGCUUAUUUUCACCAAUAAGCGGGAAAUAAGCGACUCCAAACAGGGCCUAAAAUAGAGGAAGGAAAAGAACCUCAAGAAAUCCCCAACCCAAGCCUCACAUCACUAGAGAACCCGGGUGUUUCACCAAGGACGCGAGGAAGUUCGACUUCAAGUUUA
This 2199-nucleotide long non-coding RNA is filed under the name Setaria viridis. RNAcentral's name for it is "long non-coding RNA (SVIR_LNC005423)". The record is from RNAcentral. Lineage: Eukaryota; Viridiplantae; Streptophyta; Magnoliopsida; Poales; Poaceae.